RNAcentral lists this long non-coding RNA (226 nucleotides) under Mustela putorius furo (domestic ferret). Its description in RNAcentral is "lncRNA (ENSMPUG00000024070.1)". Lineage: Eukaryota; Metazoa; Chordata; Mammalia; Carnivora; Mustelidae. The record is from RNAcentral.
GGGUGUAGUGUGAUUUUGUGGAUGAGAUCACAGGUCUGUCCUUGACAAUCCAGAGAGCAGUCCUAAAUCAACAGAAGUUGACCCCAACCUCUCAAGUGCCCCACUUGCAAGAUGAAACAAUAUCCUAAACAGAUAACCUCAAGAUUCUUUGGUUUCCACUUCCAUACCAUUUAGCCCAUUUUCUGACCCCAACCCACCCUUCUGUGUAGGCUGGGUUAUAUGCUUC